UACGGGGGGAGCAAGCGUUGUUCGGAUUUACUGGGCGUAAAGGGCGCGUAGGCGGCCAGCACAAGUCAGUUGUGAAAUCUCCGAGCUUAACUCGGAAAGGUCAACUGAUACUGUGCGGCUAGAGUGCGGAAGGGGCAACUGGAAUUCUUGGUGUAGCGGUGAAAUGCGUAGAUAUCGGGAGGAACACCUGUGGCGAAAGCGGCUCACUGGAUCUCUUCUGACGCUCAGGCACGAAAGCCAGGGGAGCGAACGGG
RNAcentral lists this ribosomal RNA (254 nucleotides) under uncultured bacterium. RNAcentral describes it as "partial 16S ribosomal RNA". It matches the Rfam family "Bacterial small subunit ribosomal RNA", at positions 524 to 776 of the family's 1533-position model. The record is from RNAcentral.